This 774-nucleotide long non-coding RNA is filed under the name Ananas comosus (pineapple). RNAcentral describes it as "long non-coding RNA (ACOM_LNC038601)". The record is from RNAcentral. Lineage: Eukaryota; Viridiplantae; Streptophyta; Magnoliopsida; Poales; Bromeliaceae.
UCGAAAUACGAGGAUUUGAUUUCAUCCCGAAUCGACCAAGGGUCGUGUUGGUGCACUUUGGAAAAACCAAAGAUAUUAAAAUCACCAAAAGUGCAUUGGAAACGAGUCCACGAGAGCAAAUAGUGCGAAAUCUAUACUGGAGCAAAACUGCUCUCGGGGACCAGUCCCUGGCAGGGAGAGACCGGUCCCAUCGGCUGGUGUUGCGGGGGUUGCUUGAGGCAACCGGUCCCUGGCAGUGAGGGACCGGUUCCCGAACGCGAUCCCAGCGCGAAAAGCCAAAAAUUGGCUAAGUCCUGAAGUCCCAGCUCUCGGGAACCGGUCUCUCAGGAAGGAACCGGUCUCCCGAGGACCGGUCUCUCUGGGAGAGACCGGUACCCGAACGCGUGACCCGAGCUGAAGCUCUCGGGGACCGGUCCCAAGUCGGGGAGACCGGUCCCUCCGCGCGCAGAACGCCCAGUAAGGGCAGUGCGCAGAGUGAAAAGGUGAGGGGCUUACUUGGAUAUUGUUACAAUAUGAGGCAUGGGGGACCCCCUCUCUCUCCCUCAGCCCUCAUUUCCCUCUCUCCCUCACACAUUCUCUUGCUUUCUCUCUCUAGAAAAGAAGGAGAAAAGAAGAAGAAGAAGAAGAAAGGAGAAGGAAAGAAGGAAGAAAAGGAAGGAGAAGAAGAAGGAGAUCAACAAAAGGAAGCUUUUGGACUUCCCCCUCAUCCUCUCUUCCCUCUUUUAAGCUAACCUAGAGGUAAGCUUCUAACCCUAGCUUGUGAGAUUUGGGGUU